GAGUUUGAUCGUGGCUCAGGAUGAACGCUGGCGGCGUGCCUAACACAUGCAAGUCGAACGGAACUAUUUUGGAAACUCCUUCGGGAGCGGAAUCUUUAGUUUAGUGGCGGACGGGUGAGUAACGCGUGAGCAAUCUGCCUUUAAGAGGGGGAUAACAGUCGGAAACGGCUGCUAAUACCGCAUAAAGCAUCAAAUUCGCAUGAUUUUGAUGCCAAAGGAGCAAUCCGCUUUUAGAUGAGCUCGCGUCUGAUUAGCUGGUUGGCGGGGUAACGGCCCACCAAGGCGACGAUCAGUAGCCGGACUGAGAGGUUGAACGGCCACAUUGGGACUGAGACACGGCCCAGACUCCUACGGGAGGCAGCAGUGGGGGAAUAUUGCGCAAUGGGGGAAACCCUGACGCAGCAACGCCGCGUGAUUGAAGAAGGCCUUCGGGUUGUAAA
This 440-nucleotide ribosomal RNA is filed under the name uncultured bacterium. RNAcentral's name for it is "bacterial SSU rRNA". It matches the Rfam family "Bacterial small subunit ribosomal RNA", at positions 9 to 429 of the family's 1533-position model. The record is from RNAcentral.